AGAAUUCGCCCUUAGAGUUUGAUCCUGGCUCAGGAUGAACGCUGGCGGUAUGCCUAACACAUGCAAGUCGAACGGUGUCUUCGGACAUAGUGGCGGACGGGUGAGUAACGCGUGAGAAUCUGGCUUCAGGUCGGGGACAACCACUGGAAACGGUGGCUAAUACCGGAUAUGCCGAGAGGUGAAAGAUUAAUUGCCUGAAGAUGAGCUCGCGUCUGAUUAGCUAGUUGGGAGUGUAAGAGACUACCAAGGCGACGAUCAGUAGCUGGUCUGAGAGGAUGAUCAGCCACACUGGGACUGAGACACGGCCCAGACUCCUACGGGAGGCAGCAGUGGGGAAUUUUCCGCAAUGGGCGAAAGCCUGACGGAGCAAUACCGCGUGAGGGAGGAAGGCUCUUGGGUUGUAAACCUCUUUUCUCAAGGAAGAAAAAAAUGACGGUACUUGAGGAAUAAGCAUCGGCUAACUCCGUGCCAGCAGCCGCGGUAAUACGGAGGAUGCAAGCGUUAUCCGGAAUGAUUGGGCGUAAAGCGUCCGCAGGUGGCUGUGAAAGUCUGCUGUUAAAGAAUGAGGCUCAACCUCAUCAGAGCAGUGGAAACUACACGGCUAGAGUGCGUUCGGGGUAGAGGGAAUUCCUGGUGUAGCGGUGAAAUGCGUAGAUAUCAGGAAGAACACCGGUGGCGAAGGCGUCUACUAGGCCGCAACUGACACUGAGGGACGAAAGCUAGGGGAGCGAAUGGGAUUAGAUACCCCAGUAGUCCUAGCCGUAGACGAUGGAUACUAGGCGUGGCUUGUAUCGACCCGAGCCGUGCCGUAGCUAACGCGUUAAGUAUCCCGCCUGGGGAGUACGCACGCAAGUGUGAAACUCAAAGGAAUUGACGGGGGCCCGCACAAGCGGUGGAGUAUGUGGUUUAAUUCGAUGCAACGCGAAGAACCUUACCAAGACUUGACAUGUCGCGAACUUCGGUGAAAGCUGAAGGUGCCUUCGGGAGCGCGAACACAGGUGGUGCGUGGCUGUCGUCAGCUCGUGUCGUGAGAUGUUGGGUUAAGUCCCGCAACGAGCGCAACCCUCGUUUUUAGUUGCCAGCAUUAAGUUGGGCACUCUAAAGAGACUGCCGGUGACAAACCGGAGGAAGGUGGGGAUGACGUCAAGUCAGCAUGCCCCUUACGUCUUGGGCUACACACGUACUACAAUGCUACGGACAAAGGGCAGCUACACAGCGAUGUGAUGCAAAUCUCAGAAACCGUAGCUCAGUUCAGAUCGCAGGCUGCAACUCGCCUGCGUGAAGGAGGAAUCGCUAGUAAUUGCAGGUCAGCAUACUGCAGUGAAUUCGUUCCCGGGCCUUGUACACACCGCCCGUCACACCAUGGAAGCUGGCAACGCCCGAAGUCAUUACUCCAACUUUUCGGAGAGGAGGAUGCCUAAGGCAGUGCUGGUGACUGGGGUGAAGUCGUAACAAGGUAACCAAGGGCGAAUUC
This 1474-nucleotide ribosomal RNA is filed under the name uncultured cyanobacterium. RNAcentral describes it as "bacterial SSU rRNA". It matches the Rfam family "Bacterial small subunit ribosomal RNA". Lineage: Bacteria; Bacillati; Cyanobacteriota. The record is from RNAcentral.